Molecule: long non-coding RNA, 301 nt
Organism: Entelurus aequoreus (snake pipefish)
Lineage: Eukaryota; Metazoa; Chordata; Actinopteri; Syngnathiformes; Syngnathidae
Exons: 4
Source: RefSeq, a predicted model, not a curated record
UGGUAUGUACGCUUCCCUACCGGAAGUGCUCUGAACUGUGAAGCCUUCCAAAGGAGAUUCCCGUGACCCAAGUGGACUCAGAGUCUCACAAUUUGCACAGUUUUUUCAGUGCGGCGUAGGCGAGUGUCACACAAGUGUACGAAGAAGUGAAACCGUGUUACCAUGUCACAUGACCACAGACCAAAACAACACUCCAUGGACCAACGACCACAAAAACAACAACUGAAAGCUUGUGUUUUACUUCUCACAGCUGUAUUUGUGAUGGAACUAUAAUCUUUAAAUAGUACUUUUAAUGUUAAGG